This 498-nucleotide ribosomal RNA is filed under the name uncultured bacterium. Its description in RNAcentral is "partial 16S ribosomal RNA". It matches the Rfam family "Bacterial small subunit ribosomal RNA", at positions 28 to 523 of the family's 1533-position model. The record is from RNAcentral.
GAUGAACGCUGGCGGCGUGCCUAACACAUGCAAGUCGAGCGCGAUUAAUUGGACUGGAGACUUCGGUCAAAGGGAAGAUUAUGAAAGCGGCGGACGGGUGAGUAACGCGUGAGCAACCUGCCCUGUACAGGGGGAUAGCCACUGGAAACGGUGAUUAAUACCCCAUAAACCCAAAAGAUCGCAUGAUCUAAGGGGCAAAGUUCCAACGGUACAGGAUGGGCUCGCGUCUGAUUAGCUAGUUGGGGAGGUAACGGCUCAAGAAGGCGACGAUCAGUAGCCGACCUGAGAGGGUGAACGGCCACACUGGAACUGAGACACGGUCCAGACUCCUACGGGAGGCAGCAGUGGGGAAUAUUGCACAAUGGGCGCAAGCCUGAUGCAGCAACGCCGCGUGAGUGAUGAAGGCCUUCGGGUCGUAAAACUCUGUCCUAAGGGAAGAAGAAGUGACGGUACCUUAGGAGGAAGCCCCGGCUAACUACGUGCCAGCCGCCGCGGUAA